Molecule: long non-coding RNA, 1862 nt
Filed under: Homo sapiens (human)
Lineage: Eukaryota; Metazoa; Chordata; Mammalia; Primates; Hominidae
Description: HSALNT0292725
Source: RNAcentral
UGCCCCCUCCGCCGCAGGCUGCCGCCGGUACCUCGUGCGUGGUUACUAUGCAAAUUGCAGCGAUUGCGGAAAUAAACAAGGGAGUUGGGAGAGGAGAGAGGGACUGCCGAAUCGAUUGCAACUUCUGCAAAGUCUCGUACAAUCCAAAGCACGCAAGGCAAAACCAGAGCGAAUCUGAGAACCAGCCAGCCCGGGUUGGAUCGCUUUCAAAAGAGAGAGUGAGAGCGAGCGAGCGAGCGAGCGAGAGCGAGACAGUGAGAGAGGGAGAGAGCGCGCCUUGCAAUUGCAAAAGCCUUCUGAUUUGGAGUUAAAAAAAAAAUUCUCCAAGAAGCCUGCAAUUGGCCAACAGCUUUUUAAAAAAUCUCUUCCGGGUUUUCAACGGUUCCAAGUUUAUUUAGAUAUUUUUUAAAUGCAAAAAAAAGGGGACAACAAAUGAAGCAAUUCGUCUGAGCAUUUUAAAGUUUCUCACGUACUCUUUUUACAUUGCAAUGCGCUUGCUCGGUUCCAGAAAGGGGUGGGGGGAAAUCCUGUACGUGCUCUGUUCUGUAAAAGACGUCUGGCCUCAGCAGUCAACCUAACCCGAAAAGAAAUGUCUGGACCCGGAGAAUAAUUGACGAUUUGAUCCUCUAAUCAAUGGGACAACUUGGGAGAUUGACAAAAGCUUUAUCCAAUCAUAAGGAAGCUUGGGUGUACAAUAGUUCUCAAUAGCCAGAGGGGGCGGGGCAGAGGAGAUCUGAAGUUCUCUGCAGCUCUGAAGGGGAUGGUGUGGUUCAAGCUGUCAAAGCUACAAGCGCUUCCGGAUUUAGCAAGCACAAUAGGAAAGAAUUUUCGCGUUUAAGAAAAAAAAAAAAGCUGAUCGGGGGAGUUUUGCAUGAAUCGUGUGCCUUCUUCCUUGUCUUUUGGAAAAAGAAACAUUCUGCUAGAGAAAUAACUUUGUAUUGUUAUUAACUUUGCAUUAGCUAUUAUUUUUAUGCUCAGGGAAGCUGGUAACUUGUGGAAUGUGAAGUUCAACUUUAAGAAACGUGUGGCUUAAAUCUUGCCUGAAUUGUGGGACUGUAGUGAGCUUUGGGAAGUAAUAUAUUGCGUAUUCAGCAUUACAAAACUUCUUACUCUGAUUAUCUUAGAAGCUUUGGCAUUUCAAGUACUUUGAAAUUAAUAGGUAAACCUCUCUUCUUGAACUCUAAACAACAGUUUUAAAGGAGAGAAUGUUUCACAUGUGGACUAGCAGCUGUCUUACACACUUGAAAGAAAUUAGGGGAGUGUUUUUUCUUGGCUAUUCUUGAAUUCUGCUUUUUAAGUAUAUGGUCAGUAGGAAAUAGGACGUUAAGACUGGCCAAGUUCACGUUUCUCCUUGUUACCACAACAACCCCCGUGGAGAGUGUAUGGAAGAUCGCUGACUUGCUAACUGUUAGUUGGAGUCUGGCCUCUUGGACAAGUGCUUGAUACAAAUCCAGUGGAAACCAACUGCAGUAGCUUGUCUUGGAGACAGUAACUGGCAGCCUCUGACUAAAAUAUCUCCAUCUCCUCCUCUCUGAGCAGCGUAGACACCCAAUUCUGUUGGGAAGUGAAUGGAAAAUAAUAUGGGCUCUUUCCCUUCUUUGGAUUAAAUUCCCAUCGAGCUAUUUCCCAAGGCUUUAGGCCUUCCAGUCAAAUCUGGCUUGGAAAUUUGAUGUAAGAAUUCACUUGGACACUCACUUCAGCAACAUGAUUCAAUUUAGGAUUAUAUGCACAUAAGAAAAAUCUGCACAGAAGUGACCAGCAGGUCAAAAACCAGAGAAGAAAAAAUGUUGAAAAAUGCCAGUUAAUAAAGUUAGUUUUGGUAAGAACUACAGAGUUAUGGUGUUGUCGCUUAUGAAUCCCAG